This 974-nucleotide long non-coding RNA is filed under the name Calidris pugnax (ruff). RNAcentral describes it as "lncRNA (ENSCPUG00000000687.1)". The record is from RNAcentral. Lineage: Eukaryota; Metazoa; Chordata; Aves; Charadriiformes; Scolopacidae.
GGGGCCCCGCCGGCCUUUGCACAGGAUGUGACCCCCCCUUUUAGAGGAUGUGACCCCCCCUUUGCACAGGACGUGACCCCCCGGUGGAGAAACACGGCCCGAGGCAGGACACGAGUGUCACCCCCACGUGCCGCUGUCCCCUCUCGUGUCACCUCUCGUGUCACCUCCCGGGCACGGAGCCCGGGAGCUCAUCCGGGGGGUGUCACACUCGUGUGUGUGUGUGUCACACACACACACACCCCCCCCCGGUGAGGCCUCGUGCGCCCGAGCACCAGCGUUUCCUCGUGCGCCGUCCUCGUGCCGGGGGACACGUCCUGCCCUGCCCUCAGCGGCGCCAGGCGGGCCCUGGCACGAUCAUGGUGAGCUCCGGGCUCCUUCGCACACUCAUUGGGAGUUCCGGAGUCCUUUGCACGCUCAUCGUGAGCUCCGGGCUCCGUCGCACGCUCAUUGUGAGUUCCAGAGUCCUUUGCAUGCUCAUUGUGAGCUCCAGACUCGAUUACACACUCGCUCCAGGCUCCAUUGCACACUCAUCGUGAGCUCCAAGCUUUAUUGCACGCUCAUCGUGAGCUCCAGACUCCAUUGCACGCCCACUGUGAGCUCCAAGCCCCCUUUACAUGCCCACCACGAGCUCCAAGCCCCCUUUGCACACCCUCCGUGAUCCUCUUUGCCCCCCCCCUGUGAUCCCCCACCCCCCUUUGCCCGCCCUCCACAAGCUCCAAGCCCCCUUUGCACGCCCGCCACGAGCUCCAAGCCCCCCUUUGCACGCCCACUGUGAUCACACACACCCCCUUGCACACCCUCCACGAGCUCCAAGCCCCCUUUGCACACCCACCGUGAGCUCCAAGCCCCCUUUGCACGCCCACCGUGAGCUCCAAGCUCCCUUUGCACACCCACUGUGAUCACACACACCCCUUUGCAUGCCCGCCACAAGCUCCAAGCCCCCUUUGCACACCCGCCACAAGCUCCACGCCCCC